CCCUUAGAUGUCCGGGGCUGCACGCGCGCUACACUGAAGGAAUCAGCGUGCUAAAACCAUUGUCGAAAGGCAUUGGUAAACCCAUUAAAAUCCUACGUGAUUGGGAUCGGGAAUUGCAAUUAUUUCCCUUGAACGAGGAAUUCCCAGUAAGUGUGGGUCAUAAGCUCGCGUUGAUUACGUCCCUGCCCUUUGUACACACCGCCCGUCGCUGCCCGGGACUGAGCCGUUUCGAGAAAAGCGGGGACUGCUGCUGUCGGGGCUUUCGGGCCUUGGCUUCGGUGGAAACCGCUUUAAUCGCAGUGGCUUGAACCGGGCAAAAGUCGUAUCA
Molecule: ribosomal RNA, 328 nt
Filed under: uncultured eukaryote
Lineage: Eukaryota
Description: partial 18S ribosomal RNA
Rfam family: Eukaryotic small subunit ribosomal RNA
Source: RNAcentral